CGAGCUGUGAGAUCUUCGGAUGGAUACACUUAGUGGCGGACGGGUGAGUAACGCGUGGGUACCUGCCUCACACUGGGGGAUAACAGUUAGAAAUAGCUGCUAAUACCGCAUAAGUCCGCAUGGAAAAAACUCCGGUGGUGUGAGAUGGACCCGCGUCUGAUUAGCCAGUUGGCGGGGUAACGGCCCACCAAAGCGACGAUCAGUAGCCGGCCUGAGAGGGUGAACGGCCACAUUGGGACUGAGACACGGCCCAAACUCCUACGGGAGGCAGCAGUGGGGAAUAUUGCACAAUGGGGGAAACCCUGAUGCAGCGACGCCGCGUGAGUGAAGAAGUAUUUCGGUAUGUAAAGCUCUAUCAGCAGGGAAGAAGUGACGGUACCUGAAUAAGAAGCCCCGGCUAACUACGUGCCAGCAGCCGCGGUAAUACGUAGGGGGCAAGCGUUAUCCGGAUUUACUGGGUGUAAAGGGAGCGUAGACGGCAAGGCAAGUCUGAAGUGAAAGCCCGGUGCUUAACGCCGGGACUGCUUUGGAAACUGUUUGGCUGGAGUGCCGGAGAGGUAAGCGGAAUUCCUAGUGUAGCGGUGAAAUGCGUAGAUAUUAGGAAGAACACCAGUGGCGAAGGCGGCUUACUGGAC
Molecule: ribosomal RNA, 635 nt
Filed under: uncultured bacterium
Lineage: Bacteria
Description: bacterial SSU rRNA
Rfam family: Bacterial small subunit ribosomal RNA
Source: RNAcentral